GACGAACGCUGGCGGCGUGCUUAACACAUGCAAGUCGAACGGAAAGGCCCCUUUGGGGGUACUCGAGUGGCGAACGGGUGAGUAACACGUGAGUAACCUGCCCUUGACUUCGGGAUAACUUCAGGAAACUGGGGCUAAUACCGGAUAGGAAUCCUUGCUGCAUGGUGGGGGUUGGAAAGCUUCGGCGGUUUUGGAUGGACUCGCGGCUUAUCAGCUUGUUGGUGGGGUAGUGGCUUACCAAGGCUUUGACGGGUAGCCGGCCUGAGAGGGCGACCGGCCACAUUGGGACUGAGAUACGGCCCAGACUCCUACGGGAGGCAGCAGUGGGGAAUAUUGCACAAUGGGCGGAAGCCUGAUGCAGCAACGCCGCGUGCGGGAUGACGGCCUUCGGGCUGUAAACCGCUUUCAGCAGGGGCGAAGCUUUUGUGACGGUACCUGCAGAAGAAGCACCGGCUAACUACGUG
This 464-nucleotide ribosomal RNA is filed under the name uncultured bacterium. RNAcentral describes it as "partial 16S ribosomal RNA". It matches the Rfam family "Bacterial small subunit ribosomal RNA", at positions 28 to 507 of the family's 1533-position model. The record is from RNAcentral.